UACGUAGGGGGCAAGCGUUGUCCGGAAUUAUUGGGCGUAAAGGGCGCGUAGGCGGUUGCGCGAGUCAGGUGGUAAAUGCACCGGCUCAACCGGUGAGAUUCGCUUGAUACUGCGUGACUUGAGUGCAGGAGAGGGGAGUAGAAUUCCAAGUGUAGCAGUGAAAUGCGUAGAUAUUUGGAGGAAUACCAGUGGCGAAGGCGGCUCUCUGGACUGUAACUGACGCUGAGGCGCGAAAGCUGGGGGAGCAAACAGG
RNAcentral lists this ribosomal RNA (253 nucleotides) under uncultured bacterium. RNAcentral's name for it is "partial 16S ribosomal RNA". It matches the Rfam family "Bacterial small subunit ribosomal RNA", at positions 524 to 776 of the family's 1533-position model. The record is from RNAcentral.